Molecule: long non-coding RNA, 453 nt
Organism: Styela clava
Lineage: Eukaryota; Metazoa; Chordata; Ascidiacea; Stolidobranchia; Styelidae
Source: RefSeq, a predicted model, not a curated record
ACUAACGGAAAUGUCUUCAGCUUACCUGGCAUUUAAGCAUACCCUUGCGAGUAAAUUUAUUUAAUCAUUAUUUUGUAUAAGUAACCAAGUAUGCGUUCUUGAUUGAAUAUAAAGAAAUGAAUUUGAGUUGAAUUUGACAAGGCUGACUGGUGGAAGAAACAUACGGUUUAUGAAGUUGAAUUAGAUACUAACAGUCUGUCUUUUAACCACCAACAUUCAAGUGUGUGUAGAUUGUAGAAGAUAUUCAGAAUUCGUUUGGCUGCGGAACAGAUUGCUCAGAAUGCCAUGCACUGUCUUGAGGGAAACAUUGUUCUUAUCAUGCAGCGCGUUGCACCUGUUCCUUCAAACAAAUCUGAAGCCUAAAAUGGUGGAUUUAUGUAGGCUACUGAAAACGGAAAAAUAAAUCAAACGAUCAUAAAGUCGAAUUGCUGGGUCAAACCGAACACAUUGGAA